GUGGGGAAUAUUGGACAAUGGGGGGAACCCUGAUCCAGCCAUGCCGCGUGUGUGAAGAAGGCCUUUUGGUUGUAAAGCACUUUAAGCGAGGAGGAGGCUACCGAGAUUAAUACUCUUGGAUAGUGGACGUUACUCGCAGAAUAAGCACCGGCUAACUCUGUGCCAGCAGCCGCGGUAAUACAGAGGGUGCAAGCGUUAAUCGGAUUUACUGGGCGUAAAGCGCGCGUAAGUGGCAAAUUAAGUCAAAUGUGAAAUCCCCGAGAUUAACUUGGGAAUUGCAUUCGAUACUGGUUGGCUAGAGUAUGGGAGAGGAUGGUAGAAUUCCAGGUGUAGCGGUGAAAUGCGUAGAGAUCUGGAGGAAUACCGAUGGCGAAGGCAGCCAUCUGGCCUAAUACUGACACUGAGGUGCGAAAGCAUGGGGAGCAAACAGGAUUAGAUACCCCAGUAGUCC
This 451-nucleotide ribosomal RNA is filed under the name uncultured bacterium. Its description in RNAcentral is "partial 16S ribosomal RNA". It matches the Rfam family "Bacterial small subunit ribosomal RNA", at positions 354 to 796 of the family's 1533-position model. The record is from RNAcentral.